Small nuclear RNA from Meriones unguiculatus (Mongolian gerbil), 184 nucleotides. Its record names the gene U2. It matches the Rfam family "U2 spliceosomal RNA". Rfam says of the family: U2 is a small nuclear RNA (snRNA) component of the spliceosome (involved in pre-mRNA splicing). Complementary binding between U2 snRNA (in an area lying towards the 5' end but 3' to hairpin I) and the branchpoint sequence (BPS) of the intron results the bulging out of an unpaired adenosine, on the BPS, which initiates a nucleophilic attack at the intronic 5' splice site, thus starting the first of two transesterification reactions that mediate splicing. NCBI's taxonomy places the organism in Eukaryota, Metazoa, Chordata, Mammalia, Rodentia, Muridae. The record is from Ensembl.
GCUGCUUUUUGGUUUUUUGGCCAAGAUCAUGUGUAGGAUCUGUUCUUAUCAGUUUGCUAUCUGAUGUGUUCCCUUUCCAAAAACAAUAUAUUAUAUAUGUUUUUGGUUUAAGGAGAUGGAAUAGGAACAUGUUAUAUAUUCAUUCCACAUAUAGACCUGGUAUUGCAGGAAUAGUGCACCCUAU